Molecule: ribosomal RNA, 441 nt
Filed under: uncultured bacterium
Lineage: Bacteria
Description: bacterial SSU rRNA
Rfam family: Bacterial small subunit ribosomal RNA
Source: RNAcentral
AACGCGAAGAACCUUACCCAGGCUCGAAAUAAAGAGGGCGAUAACAGAAAUGUUAUUUUCCGUAAGGACCUUUUUAUAGGUGCUGCAUGGCUGUCGUCAGCUCGUGCCGUGAGGUGUUGGGUUAAGUCCCGCAACGAGCGCAACCCUUAUUGUUAUUUGCCAACAUUUAAGGUGGGAACUAUAACGAGACUGCCUAGGUUAACUAGGAGGAAGGUGAGGAUGACGUCAAGUCCGCAUGGCCUUUAUGUCUGGGGCUACACACGUGCUACAAUGGUCGGUACAGAAGGCAGCAAAGCCGCAAGGUGGAGCAAAUCCUAGAAAGCCGAUCUCAGUUCAGAUUGUGGUCUGCAACUCGACCACAUGAAGAUGGAAUUGCUAGUAAUGGCGAGUCAGCAACACCGCCGUGAAUACGUUCCCGGGCCUUGUACACACCGGACACGC